Molecule: ribosomal RNA, 1062 nt
Filed under: Staphylococcus hominis
Lineage: Bacteria; Bacillati; Bacillota; Bacilli; Caryophanales; Staphylococcaceae
Description: bacterial SSU rRNA
Rfam family: Bacterial small subunit ribosomal RNA
Source: RNAcentral
CGUUAGCGGCGGACGGGUGAGUAACACGUGGGUAACCUACCUAUAAGACUGGGAUAACUUCGGGAAACCGGAGCUAAUACCGGAUAAUAUUUCGAACCGCAUGGUUCGAUAGUGAAAGAUGGCUCUGCUAUCACUUAUAGAUGGACCUGCGCCGUAUUAGCUAGUUGGUAAGGUAACGGCUUACCAAGGCAACGAUACGUAGCCGACCUGAGAGGGUGAUCGGCCACACUGGAACUGAGACACGGUCCAGACUCCUACGGGAGGCAGCAGUAGGGAAUCUUCCGCAAUGGGCGAAAGCCUGACGGAGCAACGCCGCGUGAGUGAUGAAGGUCUUCGGAUCGUAAAACUCUGUUAUUAGGGAAGAACAAACGUGUAAGUAACUGUGCACGUCUUGACGGUACCUAAUCAGAAAGCCACGGCUAACUACGUGCCAGCAGCCGCGGUAAUACGUAGGUGGCAAGCGUUAUCCGGAAUUAUUGGGCGUAAAGCGCGCGUAGGCGGUUUUUUAAGUCUGAUGUGAAAGCCCACGGCUCAACCGUGGAGGGUCAUUGGAAACUGGAAAACUUGAGUGCAGAAGAGGAAAGUGGAAUUCCAGGUGUAGCGGUGAAAUGCGCAGAGAUAUGGAGGAACACCAGUGGCGAAGGCGACUUUCUGGUCUGUAACUGACGCUGAUGUGCGAAAGCGUGGGGAUCAAACAGGAUUAGAUACCCUGGUAGUCCACGCCGUAAACGAUGAGUGCUAAUGGUUAGGGGGGUUUCCGCCCCUUAGUGCUGCAGCUAACGCAUUAAGCACUCCGCCUGGGGAGUACGACCGCAAGGUUGAAACUCACAGGAAUUGACGGGGACUCGCACAAGCGGUGGAACAUGUGGUUUAAUUCGAAGCAACGCGAAGAACCUUACCAAAUCUUGACAUCCUUUGACCCUUCUAGAAGAUAGAAGUUUUCCCCUUCGGGGGACAAAGUGACAGGUGUUGCAUGGUUGUCGUCAGCUCGUGUCGUGAGAUGUUGGGUUAAGUCCCGCAACGAGCGCAACCCUGAAGCUUAGUUGCCAUCAUUAAGUUGGG